This 435-nucleotide ribosomal RNA is filed under the name Klebsiella pneumoniae. RNAcentral describes it as "bacterial SSU rRNA". It matches the Rfam family "Bacterial small subunit ribosomal RNA", at positions 42 to 470 of the family's 1533-position model. Lineage: Bacteria; Pseudomonadati; Pseudomonadota; Gammaproteobacteria; Enterobacterales; Enterobacteriaceae. The record is from RNAcentral.
GCAGGCCCUACCAAUUGCAAGUUCGAGCGGUAGCACAGAGAGCUUGCUCUCGGGUGACGAGCGGCGGACGGGUGAGUAAUGUCUGGGAAACUGCCUGAUGGAGGGGGAUAACUACUGGAAACGGUAGCUAAUACCGCAUAACGUCGCAAGACCAAAGUGGGGGACCUUCGGGCCUCAUGCCAUCAGAUGUGCCCAGAUGGGAUUAGCUAGUAGGUGGGGUAACGGCUCACCUAGGCGACGAUCCCUAGCUGGUCUGAGAGGAUGACCAGCCACACUGGAACUGAGACACGGUCCAGACUCCUACGGGAGGCAGCAGUGGGGAAUAUUGCACAAUGGGCGCAAGCCUGAUGAUGCAGCCAUGCCGCGUGUGUGAAGAAGGCCUUCGGGUUGUAAAACACUUUCAGCGGGGAGGAAGGCGUUAAGGUUAAUAACCUU